CGCUCGCCUGGGUGGGAGGCGUAGAGGGGUGUCGGGGCAGGGGGCACACCCAGGACCCCCGCGGCCUCCCACUGCCAAGAGGUUGGAGCAAGGCCAGGGCUCCAGCUCAGCUGGGCAUGGCCUGGACAAGCGGCCGCGAGGGCCCUUCACUCGGUCCCUGGGAGGCGGGGAGGGCUGCAGCACUGCUGAGAGCCUGGAGGCUGGGCCAGGGCACCAGGGUGAGGGGUGCAGAGGCGGGAGCCUGGCUCUGGGGCUUGGCCCCUCAUCUUCAGAGCCUGGGCCGAGGCCAGGCCCCUGGGCACCAGGCCCUGCAGGCUGGUCGCAAGGGUGGGGUGGGACAAGUGAGCUGCUUUCGGAGUGAUUCACCUUGCUGAACCGGGUACCUCGCUGCCCUGGGCCUCAAGGGUGGGAGGAGGCCAGGCCCUGGCAGCCCCUCACCGGGGUCGGCAGAUCGAGGCACGGAGGGCUGCCUGGCACAGCUGCUCUUCUGCUGCACUGACCCCAGCCUCCACCGGGCCUCGGCCACUGCUCCCUGCCAGCUACAUCCCCCCCGUCCCCCAGGGGCUUCUCCUUCAGGAGGGCUGGGCUGUGCCGGGGAGUCAAGGCUGGCAGUCAGGGUGAGGCCACCCCAAGCCCUUUGGGAAUAGUUCACCGGCGCUACCCCCCUCGCUGCCCCCACCUACGCGGCCUCCAGAGGACAGCCGGAGCCCAGCGCAGGGCAAGGGGUGCGUACCCUGCCGCGGAGACCCACCCUUCCGCCCUUCCCAGACCUCCCCGCAGCCCGGCCAGCCCGGCACCUUGACAAACAGCUGGAGCUUGGCGGUCUCAGCCAUGAAGAAAGAACCCUUGGGUUAGAAGCCACAAUCUUCUGAGCCACGGGGACCUCGCCCCCCACCCCACCUCCCCACGCUGGACUGGAGGGAGAAGGCCAGAGGAGGCUGGGUGAGUUGGCAGCCUCACAGGCCCCCAGCCCGACAGACCCUCUCCGGAAGCAACAGUGGUCCGGGCUCCUGGCAGAGGUCCCCUGAGCCUGGGGCUGGCCUCGACAUACUGUGGAGUUGGGGCCUGGGCCUCCGGACCACCUGCCACCACCACGGGGCUGCUCCUCAACAACUGGGGGGGUCACCCCGUUCGCUUCCUGCUUCCCUGCCACACAAACUGCCACCCUGGAGAAGGGCCAAGGCCCCUCCACACCGGUGCCUGUUCACCAGAUGUCCUGUGUGUAAAGGCACCCUUACACGUCCGUUAGAAAAAUGGUGACACGGACAAAUGAACAGGUGGUUCAGAAAAAAGGAAAUAAAACACCAACAGAAUAAAUGACAGUGUGUUUCAUUGUACACGUAUUCCAAGAACAAAUCAGAACAAGAUACAUACGGUUUGUGGUUACAACGGGCAGAAAUGUGGCCACCAUAUUCUUGGCAACGGUGUGGGGAAACGCACUCUGGGGGCGUCCCUGGUAAACAGCAACUGCCAUCGAAACGUCCCCAUAAGUACACGAGGGACAAACGGGUGUGCAGUGCCCCAGGGUGUGGCAGAGUCCCGGUGCAUCCACAGGAGAGGACGGAGGAGGCGGGUCUCUAGCCUGAGAUUUACUGGUGUUACGGGCUGAACUGUGUCCCCUCCAAAUUCAUAUGAAGUCCUCCUCCCCAAGCCCCCACCCCUCAGAAUGUGACCAUAUUUGGAGAUGGGGUCUUUACAGAAGUAAUCAA
This is a long non-coding RNA of Balaenoptera musculus (blue whale), 1709 nucleotides long. RefSeq lists it as uncharacterized. Lineage: Eukaryota; Metazoa; Chordata; Mammalia; Artiodactyla; Balaenopteridae. The transcript is spliced from 3 exons. The record is from RefSeq and is a predicted model, not a curated record.